RNAcentral lists this ribosomal RNA (149 nucleotides) under uncultured Treponema sp. RNAcentral's name for it is "partial 16S ribosomal RNA". It matches the Rfam family "Bacterial small subunit ribosomal RNA", at positions 1390 to 1533 of the family's 1533-position model. The record is from RNAcentral. Lineage: Bacteria; Pseudomonadati; Spirochaetota; Spirochaetia; Treponematales; Treponemataceae.
CCGCCCGUCACACCAUCCGAGUAGAGGGUACCCGAAGUCGGUAGUCUAACCGUAAGGAGGACGCUGCCGAAGGUAUGUUUUGUAAGGAGGGUGAAGUCGUAACAAGGUAGUCGUACCGGAAGGUGCGGCUGGAUCACCUCCUUUCUAAG